UGGGGAAUCUUGCACAAUGGGCGAAAGCCUGAUGCAGCAACGCCGCGUGCGGGAAGACAGCCCUAGGGUUGUAAACCGCUUUCAGCAGGGAAGAAACUGACGGUACCUGCAGAAGAAGAUGCGGCCAACUACGUGCCAGCAGCCGCGGUGACACGUAGGCAUCAAGCGUUAUCCGGAUUUAUUGGGCGUAAAGAGCUCGUAGGCGGUUCGGUAAGUCGGGUGUGAAAACUCUGGGCUCAACCCAGAGAGGCCACUCGAUACUGCUGUGACUAGAGUGCGGUAGGGGAGCGGGGAAUUCCUGGUGUAGCGGUGAAAUGCGCAGAUAUCAGGAGGAACACCAGUGGCGAAGGCGCCGCUCUGGGCCGUAACUGACGCUGAGGAGCGAAAGCAUGGGUAGCAAACAGGAUUAGAUACCCUGGUAGUCCAUGCCGUAAACGUUGGGCACUAGGUGUGGGUCU
RNAcentral lists this ribosomal RNA (458 nucleotides) under uncultured bacterium. RNAcentral's name for it is "bacterial SSU rRNA". It matches the Rfam family "Bacterial small subunit ribosomal RNA", at positions 355 to 829 of the family's 1533-position model. The record is from RNAcentral.